UUUUUGUAUUACGACUAAAGGACCCGAAUUUAGGUGAUCCUAAGAAAUUUAUCAUUCCUCAUUGAAAAGAGGAUUAUUCUAGUAAGCUCUAAAAAAGAAAAUCGAACCUAAAAAACUGAUUUGAUCCAUAUUUAGAAAUUAAAUAAUAUAUUCUAUAACCAAGAGGUUUAAAACAAAGGAUUUUUAAAAAAACCCGGGUAAUAAAACAAAAAAUAUUCUUUGAAUUUUACAUUAUAAUCUUUAGAUCAAAAUAUCAAUUAAAAGAACUCAUGAAAAUAGUAAUCCCCGACUGUUUAACAAAAACAUUUUUUCGAAAAUAGAAAUAGGCCCUGCUCAAUUUAUAGAUCAUAAAUAGCAUAAAUUUGCUAAGGUAGCAUAAUUACUAGUCGCUUAAUUAGCGAAUUGUCUGAACGGGUUAACGAGGGAAAAAUUUUCUUUUGAAAAUUAUAAGAAAGAGGUCAAAUCUCCUCUACCUUUUAAUAAGACGAUAAGACCCUAUAAUCUAAUUUCUUUUCAAAAAUUAAUUGUUGGGGCAACAUAGAGAAAUACACUCUAAUUUAAUUUUUUUACCUGAUUUAAUAUGAUACUAUAGGGAUAACAGCAUAAUAUUUUCAAAAAAGAUCUUAUUUUUUGAGAAGAGUAUGACCUCGAUGUUGAACCAGAGAAAAU
RNAcentral lists this ribosomal RNA (669 nucleotides) under Spadella cephaloptera. RNAcentral describes it as "partial 16S ribosomal RNA". The record is from RNAcentral. Lineage: Eukaryota; Metazoa; Chaetognatha; Sagittoidea; Phragmophora; Spadellidae.